AACGAACGCUGGCGGCAGGCCUAACACAUGCAAGUCGAGCGAGGACUUCGGUCCUAGCGGCGGACGGGUGAGUAACGCGUGGGAACGUGCCCUUUGCUUCGGAAUAGCCCUGGGAAACUGGGAGUAAUACCGGAUGAGCCCUUUGGGGGAAAGAUUUAUCGGCGAAGGAUCGGCCCGCGUUGGAUUAGGUAGUUGGUGGGGUAAUGGCCUACCAAGCCGACGAUCCAUAGCUGGUUUGAGAGGAUGAUCAGCCACACUGGGACUGAGACACGGCCCAGACUCCUACGGGAGGCAGCAGUGGGGAAUCUUAGACAAUGGGGGGAACCCUGAUCUAGCCAUGCCGCGUGAGCGAUGAAGGCCUUAGGGUUGUAAAGCUCUUUCAGCUGGGAAGAUAAUGACGGUACCAGCAGAAGAAGCCCCGGCUAACUCCGUG
This 433-nucleotide ribosomal RNA is filed under the name uncultured bacterium. RNAcentral describes it as "partial 16S ribosomal RNA". It matches the Rfam family "Bacterial small subunit ribosomal RNA", at positions 29 to 507 of the family's 1533-position model. The record is from RNAcentral.